Molecule: long non-coding RNA, 3244 nt
Organism: Columba livia (rock pigeon)
Lineage: Eukaryota; Metazoa; Chordata; Aves; Columbiformes; Columbidae
Exons: 4
Source: RefSeq, a predicted model, not a curated record
ACACUCCUGCUCUAUAGAGUCCACAUAAAGUGACAUGGUGGUAUCUAAGACAAAGACUUGAAGGAAUUUAACCUUUUAUUUUUAGGGCAGUAAAAAUCCUUGAUAAAAGAAAAUCAGCCAGAGAUAAAUAAACAAAUUCUGUGCCAUCCACAACAAGCCAUGAUUUAAUCAGCUUAUAAUAACUUCAAUGGGGAUUGUUCUGAAGCUUGUCGGCAGAUGCUGCAGGACCAGAACUGAGAUGUAGCAACCAAGAGGUUAUUGAUGUAACAGACCCAACUUUCAUGAGCAAUGUGUCCUAGAAGUGGAAACCAAGGGUCAUGUUGCUCACAUUGGUGAACAGCUACUUACAUAAGUAGUCUCACUGAAUUCAAACCUGUCCUGAAAAGGCACUUAACAGUCUUAGCUGCAACAAUGUGGAAAAAAAAAAAGCAAAUAAGUAGAAUAAGAACCUUUCAUGUGGCAGUCAAAUGCUUCUUGCGGAAAUAGCUGGGGCAGGUGUGAAGUUACCUGCUUCUUCCAUGUACCCUGCGUUGGCAACUUCAGACUAACCCAGUUACUCUCACAGUGCUGGAGAGAAGCGCUUGCACUGACCAUUCCUGUAGUGAAAGCUGUGAAGUCUUACACCAUCGCUGCCAUUUCUCCAGUGGGCAUCCAUCUGUGGCCUCAGGAUUUGAUUGCAACUUUUUCCUCAAGCCUAGCAAACUACUUUCAGUGACCUUCAAGGCUGAGGGAAAGAAUUCAUGGAGCAAAACGUAAUGAACGAAUGUUAGUAAUGCAAUUGGAACUGCAAAGUAGCUGAGAGCGUAAAGCAUGUGAAAGUAACCCCUCCUUCCUGCAUGCUCAUUUUCUCUGUGCCUUUUUAAAAAAGAGGCAAAAAAUAGUGUCAUUUGCAGAUACUAGUCUUGUAUGUGAGAUUGGGAAGCAUUUGGGAACAGAAAAUUCUUAUAUACUGAAUCGUCAAAGAAGAUACAGUGCAGUGGAAAAAAUGUGUGUGACAGUUGUGUUGUGUGACAGUUUUUCCUACCCUGCUCCAAACUACCUGCCAGGCAAAACCCUUUUUUUCUUUUCUUUUUUUUUUUUCUUUUUCUUUUUUUUUUCUUAUUUGCUAGGGUCUUAUAUGCAGCUCACCCUUCAGGACACAAGCACAAAUAUUAACUGACACUUACUUGCUAAGUAUCCAAAGCAAUGAAAUCCUAGAUAGUAACUACUGUUUACAAAUAUUUAAAAAAAUAAUAUUUGACUUAGAAAUAUCCAGUGAACACUUACCUGAUAAAAAUCAUAAUAUCUCUAUCAAAUUUAUUUAAUUUCUACUAUCUACUGUCAAAGCAUGGAUUUGGGGAAGACACAGUUAUUCAAGGAAAAUAACUGAAUCUUUAGCAGAAAAGCCCUUUCCUUGAACUCCUUAACCACAUGCAUCACAAAUUAUCACUCAACCCUGUGACAUGGGCAUUUGAUUUGUAAAGACCUGCUCCAAUGGAAAGGCUCUAGUCAGCUCGGGGAUGGGGGAGAUGUUCCAUUUCCCAUUGAAUCCCAGAACUCUGGGCUUUUCUGGGUCAUUUCGGUUGCAGCUCCAAGACAAUGUUGCUGUGCCGAACACUCGGCAGCUCAGAUGUUCAUCCAGGAUGCAGCCUGGCUGCUCCAGAAGGUACACAGUUCCAGGAUCAUAUCUAAAACAUCAGCUUCUGUUGCAGAGGUAACAGGCUGGAUAUCAUGACUUGGAAUCCCACUGAAAUAAGCAUCAUCUAACCAGGCUUCAGAAGCCAUCUGCACCUCCUCCAGAAUGCUAUGGCUUUUCAUGAGAGUCUUGAGAGAGGAAGUGCACUCAUUGCACCUCCUGGGAAUUUCUGAAGAAUACAGUUCAACAGUUUCCACUUCCAGUAUUUCCUUCCUAGGUUAGAAGAAGUAUCUUUGUCCUGUCCAGAUCUUGAAGACAUUCAAUGAAAUUUGGCAUCUUAGGUUCAGAACAUUAGCAAUCACUUAGACUUUCACCUUUGCUCAGGUCUGAUUUAUGUCUUUCACCUUGCAGGACACAUAAUUCAAAUCACCAUCCACUAUAUCCACGGGAAGAAUCUUCAGGCCAAACUGUUACAGCAACCCAUUAGUCCUCUGGCUUUCUACACCACCAGGAAACAAUGGCGAAUGCCAAACUUUUGCAACUGCAAACAAAGGGAAAUGGGUAUUCGUGUCUACCAUUACUUUCCUAAUUGGUUGAGCAGGGAAAAAACAAUCUUACCAGGAAAUCCUCACAAGUCUGAACUACAUCUCUCAGCCUUGUUUGCUUGCCAGUUCUCCUGCUGAACCACAGGAAAUCCAUUCCAGCUCCAGCACAGAUUGUUCAGAGCAGGCGAGACCAGCUCAUUAGCGAUGUAACCUCCAGGCAGUAGGCAUGCACACAAAAUGUUCAGCCUGGGGAUGGGGUAGCACAGAUGCAACCAAAGGGGCUUGCCUGACGCUCUUGGAUUGUGUAUUCAUGUUUAUGUUGAUCAUAUAACCCUGCCUGCUGUUCCUUAUCAAUGCGGACAUGACCUUGAUAGAGCAAGCUGUUAGAUCCCAAGCCUGUGUGCAUGAGAAACCUGGACAGAGCAGGUUCCCCUGCAUGCAGCUUCCCAAAGAACUGUAUUUUUUCUGUGCUGGAGGUGAGCUUGAAGAGUCAGUCCAAUCCUGAAACCAAGUAUGUCUAUGAAGCUGCUUUCCUAUGAUCUCUGUGGUCAUUCCCCAAUGCAGAUAUCUGUAGAGGAAGAUUCACCCACCACUUAAUCUCCAUGGGACUCUGCAGGCCUGAUGGAGCUGGAAAAUCUUUGUGAGGGUUUGAAAAAGCAUAAAGCCCUUGCAGUCCAUCUUAAGUGCCUCAAGGUCCUCUCACCUCUGGUUUCAUGAAUGCUUCCCAGUACCUGUCCCAUCCUGUGACACCGAAAAAGAAGUAUGCUAUGUGCUUUCCAGAGAAAUACAAGAACAAGAUCUCAAGAGCUUCCAAGAUAAACACAUUUUCUGAAUUUUGUGCAUUCACCACAUAGUUUUAUUAGGCCAAAAAUUUGCUCACAAGAUUUUGUGUGGUUCUGAAAUUAGGUAUAUUUUCUGUCCCUAUAGAAAUGUCUUUAUUUACUUGAUCAUAUAUCACACUGCUGUGCAGAAAACAAAACAAGCACCUGUGUUUUCCCCAUUCUUCAUGUACCAAGACUAAUGUCUAUCAAAAAUAGUCCUGUAAAACAUAAACUGUUUCAGAAAUAAAUACACUUGAUGUUUA